Molecule: long non-coding RNA, 209 nt
Filed under: Elaeis guineensis (African oil palm)
Lineage: Eukaryota; Viridiplantae; Streptophyta; Magnoliopsida; Arecales; Arecaceae
Description: long non-coding RNA (EGUI_LNC032231)
Source: RNAcentral
GUGACAUUGCCAUCCAAUAUGUCUCAUCUAAGCGGCAACUCACGGACAUCUUUACUAAAGUCCUUGUCCGUGAUCACUUUCAUAACAUCUCAUGCAAGUUAGGCGUUCGUAAUCUCCACGCUCCAACUUGAGAAGGAGUAUUAGGCAAUAUUUUGAAUUUUGAAUUUUGAAUAGAAGAGAGAUCCUGGGAUCCAUUUUUAUCUUUGUAU